AGCAGCCGGCUGGCCCCUGUGCCCUGCUGCUCCCAUGUCCCCCCUGAGCCCUGCCAUCCGUUUCCUCCCCAGGUGUGCAGGGGAAUGCAAAAUCUCUCCCUCCGAAACCCACCUUUCCACGCCCUGGGGAGAGACCCUUUGUAUGCUAACCCCCUUCUGGAAACUCCAGUUCAAAGACCCCAGAUCUGUAUCCGAAGGGAACCGAGCAUGUUACCAGAGUGCUUGUUUUGAGCGGACCCACCAGGGAAAGCAUGAAGGUGUGCCAGGGCAGUUAUCCAUGCUGGGAAGGCGGGGAACUGUCCAGCCUGGGAAUACCCCAUCAGAAGGGAGAGAGAUGAGGUCUCAACUCAAGAGAGGCAACAGCUGAGGAGCUGAAAGCCAAGAGUGGUGCCCUUGCUGAACCACUGAGGAGAAAGACAGGUGUAGUUGCCUGGAACUGUGACAGCAUCAUCCAGUAUUGUAAUACAGAUAAAAUCACAGUAGGGUUUGGGGAGUGAGAAAUCUCAGUCCCAUAGGAUUUGCUCAAGGCCGCCAAAAUCUUCUCAGGCAGCAAUGAGCAUUUGAAAGGCAGUGUCAUCUAGGGGAUAGGGUACUGGGCUGGGAGCCAGGAUAUCUAGGUGUAUCUUUGUUCCUAAGAAAACAUU
Mauremys reevesii (Reeves's turtle) is the source of this 644-nucleotide long non-coding RNA. RefSeq lists it as uncharacterized. The record is from RefSeq and is a predicted model, not a curated record. The transcript has 3 exons. NCBI's taxonomy places the organism in Eukaryota, Metazoa, Chordata, Testudines, Geoemydidae.